RNAcentral lists this ribosomal RNA (650 nucleotides) under uncultured marine bacterium. RNAcentral describes it as "bacterial SSU rRNA". It matches the Rfam family "Bacterial small subunit ribosomal RNA", at positions 80 to 727 of the family's 1533-position model. The record is from RNAcentral.
CUAGAAGAUGACGAGCGGCGGACGGGUGAGUAACGCGUAGGAAUCUGCCUAGUAGUGGGGGACAACAUGUGGAAACGCAUGCUAAUACCGCAUACGCCCUACGGGGGAAAGGAGGGGAUCUUCGGACCUUUCGCUAUUAGAUGAGCCUGCGUGAGAUUAGCUAGUUGGUGGGGUAAAGGCCUACCAAGGCGACGAUCUCUAGCUGGUCUGAGAGGAUGAUCAGCCACACUGGGACUGAGACACGGCCCAGACUCCUACGGGAGGCAGCAGUGGGGAAUAUUGGACAAUGGGCGCAAGCCUGAUCCAGCCAUGCCGCGUGUGUGAAGAAGGCCUUAGGGUUGUAAAGCACUUUCAGGAGUGAGGAAGGGCGUAUAGUUAAUACCUGUAUGUUUUGACGUUAACUCCAGAAGAAGCACCGGCUAACUCUGUGCCAGCAGCCGCGGUAAUACAGAGGGUGCGAGCGUUAAUCGGAAUUACUGGGCGUAAAGCGCGCGUAGGCGGUUUGUUAAGUCGGAUGUGAAAUCCCAGGGCUCAACCUUGGAAUGGCACCCGAUACUGGCAGGCUAGAGUACGGUAGAGGGGUGUGGAAUUUCCUGUGUAGCGGUGAAAUGCGUAGAUAUAGGAAGGAACAUCAGUGGCGAAGGCGACAC